UACAGAUAUCAAGAAUGGAAUGAUGUGUAAUGAUGGAAUGACGACCAUAUUCUCAUCUCCCUUCAUCUGUGUAUUGUACUACGCGAAUCACUUCAGACUCACCAUUCUGUAAGCCGCGCAAUUGAAGUCCUUGAGCAAACAGAAAAUAAGACCUUCCCUAAAAAAGCCACAAUACUCCAUGCCUACAUGCACUUUGAAGCCAUGACCUCACACAACUACUUGUAUUCUUGUUACAAGUGUGGAUACUAUCCACCAGUGGUGGUCAUGGACCUUCACAGAAAGGGUGUAUUCAAUAUGCCUGUAAGUGACAUGGAGGCUCCACCAGCACACUUUGAUGGCACUGUCGAUAUCAAGCUAUUUUGGGACUCUGUGAUGUCUGAAAUCGUUUGCAGUGGCUUACUUCCCUGUAAGUAAGCCACUUACUUACUUGUGUCUGUUCACUUAAAAUAUAGGGCUUGUCUGUUCCACCACAAGAAUACAGUGAUAGUAUUGUGAUGUAGACUUUGCAUGUUAAUAUUAUUGUUUAAUCACAAUUGUGAACUAUAGCAGGAUUCUUAAUUGAAGUAAAUUUAAGCUGCU
Molecule: long non-coding RNA, 579 nt
Organism: Clarias gariepinus (North African catfish)
Lineage: Eukaryota; Metazoa; Chordata; Actinopteri; Siluriformes; Clariidae
Exons: 3
Source: RefSeq, a predicted model, not a curated record